GUGUAGUGAGCGGAACGUGAUCAAGAAAGUCCACCUGCAGUUCCUCACCAAUCAAGGAGGCAGCAUCAGUGUUCCAAUCCAAACGCACUUUUUUACCUUUUGGUUCAGUAACAAGACGAAAAACUGCACAGCAUUCUGGCUGCAGACCUCUUACUUUAAGUGCCUUCAUGAGACAAUCAUGUAAGGUCAUCCCAUUUCGCACAUUUACCACUGUACGUUGCUUAUUGGGCAAGAAAACUCGAAUGGUAUUACUGGUUUUGGAAGUAUCUGAUAUCUUGCCAUCAUCAGAUGCUCGGCGCUGAUAACCAAACUGCUGGACAAUGGUCGGUGAAAUGCAGUUUGGGCCAUCAAAGACAGAAUCCUUGAGUCCAAAACCAUUACUGAUAGUCUUCCAAGCUCCCUGAAUGUGCUCCAUGGAUGCAGUCUUUCGUUUUCCUUUAUGUCAGUGAAGUCCUAUGACAAAAUGAUGAAGUGCAUCAUCUAUGUCACUCCCUCCCGACCGCCGCCUCCGGGCUCAUCUCCCUUCAGCGCCGUUCGUUUCGUUCCUCAUCUAAAAUGGCGGCCCCGCACCCAGCGAGACAUUUAUCCGCCGCCCAUCGAC
Molecule: long non-coding RNA, 601 nt
Filed under: Gallus gallus (chicken)
Lineage: Eukaryota; Metazoa; Chordata; Aves; Galliformes; Phasianidae
Source: RNAcentral